Molecule: ribosomal RNA, 102 nt
Filed under: uncultured bacterium
Lineage: Bacteria
Description: partial 16S ribosomal RNA
Rfam family: Bacterial small subunit ribosomal RNA
Source: RNAcentral
UACACACCGCCCGUCACACCAUGGGAGUCAAAUGCUCCAGAAGUGGCUGAGCCAACCCCGCAAGGGGGGCAGGUCCCCAAGGAGUGUUUGGUAACUGGGGUG